Molecule: ribosomal RNA, 200 nt
Filed under: uncultured bacterium
Lineage: Bacteria
Description: partial 16S ribosomal RNA
Rfam family: Bacterial small subunit ribosomal RNA
Source: RNAcentral
GAUGAACGCUAGCGGCAGGCUUAAUACAUGCAAGUCGAACGCCCCGCAAGGGGAGCGGCAGACGGGUGAGUAACACGUGGGAAUCUACCCAUCCCUGCGGAACAACUCCGGGAAACUGGAGCUAAUACCGCAUACGCCCUACGGGGGAAAGAUUUAUCGGAAUUAGAUGAGCCCGCGUAAGAUUAGCUAGUUGGUGAGGU